GACGAACGCUGGCGGCGUGCUUAACACAUGCAAGUCGAACGGAAAGGCCCCUUUGGGGGUACUCGAGUGGCGAACGGGUGCGUAACACGUGAGUAACCUGCCCUUGACUUCGGGAUAACUUCAGGAAACUGGGGCUAAUACCGGAUAGGAAUCCUUGCUGCAUGGUGGGGGUUGGAAAGCUUCGGCGGUUUUGGAUGGAUUGGCGGCUUAUCGGCUUGUUGGUGGGGUAGUGGCUUACCAAGGCUUGGACGGGUAGCCGGCCUGAGAGGGCGACCGGCCACAUUGGGACUGAGAGACGGCCCAGACUCCGACGGGAGGCAGCAGGGGGGAAUAUUGCAGAAUGGGCGGAAGCCGGAUGCAGCAACGCCGCGUGCGGGAUGACGGCCUUCGGGUUGUAAACCGCUUUCAGCAGGGGCGAAGCUUGUGGUGACGGUACCUGCAGAAGAAGCACCGGCUAACUACGUG
This 465-nucleotide ribosomal RNA is filed under the name uncultured bacterium. RNAcentral describes it as "partial 16S ribosomal RNA". It matches the Rfam family "Bacterial small subunit ribosomal RNA", at positions 28 to 507 of the family's 1533-position model. The record is from RNAcentral.